Molecule: long non-coding RNA, 312 nt
Organism: Mya arenaria
Lineage: Eukaryota; Metazoa; Mollusca; Bivalvia; Myida; Myidae
Exons: 3
Source: RefSeq, a predicted model, not a curated record
AAAAAAACAAACCUAGUUGGUCUUAGGGUGUGAUAUAUGGGAGUUUACGAAACCAUAUUUGUACCAGUACGUGCAUGAUCAUUUUUUAUACUACUUACGAACUUUGUGAUCCAGAUGCCGUUUACCGGGAUGAGAUAAGAAGUCUGAUACGUAUCCGGUUUCUUGAUGAAAUAAACCGUUGACAAAGAGGACUCUAAUCCUGCCUGACAUCAGCACGGAGUUCAGUUAUAUCUCAUUGGACACACAACAGGCAGGGUAUAAGCCACAGACACCUUUAUUGAACUCAUAAUGUCUGACAGUCCCAAGCCCGCC